Molecule: ribosomal RNA, 372 nt
Filed under: uncultured bacterium
Lineage: Bacteria
Description: bacterial SSU rRNA
Rfam family: Bacterial small subunit ribosomal RNA
Source: RNAcentral
GUAGUCCACGCCCUAAACGAUGUCAACUAGCUGUUGGGUUCUUCGGGACUUAGUAGCGCAGCUAACGCGUGAAGUUGACCGCCUGGGGAGUACGGUAGCAAGAUUAAAACUCAAAGGAAUUGACGGGGACCCGCACAAGCGGUGGAUGAUGUGGAUUAAUUCGAUGCAACGCGAAAAACCUUACCUACCCUUGACAUGUCCGGAAGCUCGAAGAGAUUUGAGUGUGCUCGCAAGAGAACUGGAACACAGGUGCUGCAUGGCUGUCGUCAGCUCGUGUCGUGAGAUGUUGGGUUAAGUCCCGCAACGAGCGCAACACUUGUCAUUAGUUGCUACGAAAGGGCACUCUAAUGAGACUGCCGGUGACAAACCGGA